CCUACGGGUGGCAGCAGUGAGGAAUAUUGGUCAAUGGCCGAGAGGCUGAACCAGCCAAGUCGCGUGAGGGAAGAAUGUCCUAAGGAUUGUAAACCUCUUUUGUCGGGGAGCAAAAAGGCUCUGCGGAGUCGUAUUUAGAGUACCCGAAGAAAAAGCAUCGGCUAACUCCGUGCCAGCAGCCGCGGUAAUACGGAGGAUGCGAGCGUUAUCCGGAUUUAUUUGGUUUAAAGGGUGCGUAGGCGGAAUAUCAAGUCAGCGGGAAAAAUUCGGGGCUCAACCCCGUCGUGCCGUUGAAACUGAUGUUCUUGAGUGGGCGAGAAGUAUGCGGAAUGCGUGGUGUAGCGGUGAAAUGCAUAGAUAUCACGCAGAACUCCGAUUGCGAAGGCAGCAUACCGGCGCCCAACUGACGCUGAAGCACGAAAGCGUGGGUAUCGAACAGGAUUAGAUACCCAUGUAGUC
This 459-nucleotide ribosomal RNA is filed under the name uncultured bacterium. RNAcentral describes it as "partial 16S ribosomal RNA". It matches the Rfam family "Bacterial small subunit ribosomal RNA", at positions 338 to 795 of the family's 1533-position model. The record is from RNAcentral.